AAAAAAGAAUUAAUAAUCCUAAAAGAAAAAUAAAAAUAAAGAAUCUAAACUAGAUUUAGUUGGACUUGGAUUCGUGGAUGGUGUCGAGUGCCGGUCUCCACUGCCGGCAUCCACCAACCCGUUUACCGGAAAAACCGGUCACCUCCCCUCCCAAGACGGCCGUCUUCCCCUCCUCUCCACCGGCUACCUCCGGGAACACCCGCCCUCCGCCCCCGCAACUCCCCUCCUUCCUCCCCUUCCGCUGCCGCCGGCCGCGGACGACGUCGAGCAGGACCUCUAUCUGACCAUCGGAGAGCCGGCACCCGACCCGGUCCAUCGGCAGCAGCAGGUACGCGCCCCCGGCCAGCAGCUCCUCGUCGGCCCGCAUCCCGGCGACGCGCCGGGUCCUCGCCACCUCCUCGGCGCGCGCCACCACGUGGCCGGGGUACUCCAUCAUGAUCUCGGCAGCGCCUGCGGGGGCCUCGAUGCGGC
This 471-nucleotide long non-coding RNA is filed under the name Musa acuminata (dwarf banana). Its description in RNAcentral is "long non-coding RNA (MACU_LNC006741)". The record is from RNAcentral. Lineage: Eukaryota; Viridiplantae; Streptophyta; Magnoliopsida; Zingiberales; Musaceae.